UCCGUAGGUGAACCUGCGGAAGGAUCAUUGAAAUCGAUCGAACCCACCCUGGUAACCAAACGUACCCCUCGUGUAUCGCCAGCUUGCUGGCUGCCGAGCGUCGGUCCCCUGGUUAGGGCUCUUCGCAGCCCUCUCUAGGUCCGGCGGGCGUCGCUCCGGCGGUGUCUCUGUGGUCUUUUCCACCGAGCCCGUCGGUUGAGACGUCGGUAAUUUUUAUCCAACCCAACCCACCCCAAACCUCAAUUAAUCCUGAAGCAAUCAGUAGGUGCAGCCUCGUGUUGUGACCUCUAAACCAAAGAUAACUCUCAACAACGGAUAUCUUGGCUCCCGUAUCGAUGAAGAACGCAGCGAAAUGCGAUACGUAGUGUGAAUUGCAGAAUUCCGUGAACCAUCGAAUCUUUGAACGCAAAUUGCGCCCGAGGCUUCGGCCGAGGGCAUGUCUGCCUCAGCGUCGGCUUACCCCCUCGUCUCCCCUUCACUGGGUGAGUACGGAUCUGGCCCUCCCGGCUCCGACUGAACUUGUUCAGCCGUCCGGGUCGGCUGAAGUGCAGAGGCUUGAGCAUGGACCCCGUUUGCAGGGCAAUGGCUUGGUAGGUAGCUUUGCUACGCAGCCUGCCGUCGCCCGAGGGGCCUUUGCUGGCGGCCCAGCAGGAACCGGGGCGUUAAACCCCCGGCGUCUCACACUUUCGACCUGAGCUCAGGCAAGAUUACCCGCUGAACUUAAGCAUAUCAAUAAGCGGAGGA
Molecule: ribosomal RNA, 744 nt
Filed under: Micractinium sp. KNUA032
Lineage: Eukaryota; Viridiplantae; Chlorophyta; Trebouxiophyceae; Chlorellales; Chlorellaceae
Description: eukaryotic LSU rRNA
Rfam family: 5.8S ribosomal RNA (bases 301-454)
Source: RNAcentral